Molecule: small RNA, 312 nt
Filed under: uncultured fungus
Lineage: Eukaryota; Fungi
Description: eukaryotic LSU rRNA
Rfam family: Eukaryotic large subunit ribosomal RNA
Source: RNAcentral
AAGGAGUCUGUUUUUGUUGCAAGUCUUUUGGUAAAAAACCAAGGGGCGGAAUGAAAGUGAAAGCUUUGAGCUUUGGUGGGACAAGAGGAUUAAACCCCUCUUUGCACCAUCGGCCGACCAUGCGUCUUUGACAAAAGGUUUGAGUAGAAGCAACACAAAUGGGACCCGAAAGAUGGUGAUCUAAACUCGACUAGGGCAAAGUCAAAGGAAACUUUGAUGGAGGCUCGAAUCCGUUCUGACGUGCAAAUCGAUGGUCGAAUAUUGAGUUUAGGGGCGAAAGACUAAUCGAACCAUCUGGUAGCUGGUUCCCUC